GAUGAACGCUGGCGGCGUGCCUAAUACAUGCCAGUCGAGCGAACGGACGAGAAGCUUGCUUCCCUGAUGUUAGCGGCGGACGGGUGAGUAACACGUGGAUAACCUACCUAUAAGACUGGGAUGACUUCGGGAAACCGGAUCUCAUACCGGAUAAUAUUGUGAACCGCAUGGUUCAAAAGUGAAAGACGGUCUUGCUGGCCCGUAUAGAUGGAACCGCGCUGCAUUAGCUAGUUGGUAAGGUAACGGCUUACCAAGGCAACGAUGCGUAGCCGACCUGAGAGGGUGAUCGGCCACACUGGAACUGAGACACGGUCCAGACUCCUACGGGAGGCAGCAGUAGGGAAUCUUCGGCAAUGGGCGCAAGCCUGACGGAGCAACGCCGCGUGAGGGAUGAAGGUCUUCGGAUCGUAAAACUCUGUUAUUAGGGAAGAACACAUGUGUAAGUAACUGUGCACAUCUUGACGGUACCUAAUCAGAAAGCCACGGCUAACUACGUG
RNAcentral lists this ribosomal RNA (497 nucleotides) under uncultured bacterium. Its description in RNAcentral is "partial 16S ribosomal RNA". It matches the Rfam family "Bacterial small subunit ribosomal RNA", at positions 28 to 507 of the family's 1533-position model. The record is from RNAcentral.